AACACAUGCAAGUCGUGCGAGAAGGUCCUUCGGGACGUGAGUAGAGCGGCGCACGGGUGAGUAACGCGUGGGUGACCUACCCAGGAGACCGGGAUAACGAGUGGGAAACUGCUGCUAAUACCGGGUACGCUUCAUAUUUCACGUAUGGGGGGAAAGGCGGCCUCUGCUUGCAAGCUGCCACUCUUGGAUGGGCCCGCGUCUCAUUAGCUUGUUGGUAGGGUAACGGCCUACCAAGGCGACGAUGAGUAGCUGGUCUGAGAGGAUGAUCAGCCACACUGGGACUGGAACACGGCCCAGACUCCUACGGGAGGCAGCAGUGGGGAAUAUUGCGCAAUGGGCGAAAGCCUGACGCAGCGACGCCGCGUGAAGGGAAGAAGGCCUUCGGGUCGUAAACCUCUGUCAGGAGGGAAGAAACCAUGGGAGUCGAAUAGGCUCUCGUGCUGACGGUACCUCCGGAGGAAGCACCGGCUAACUCCGUGCCAGCCGCGGC
Molecule: ribosomal RNA, 490 nt
Filed under: uncultured bacterium
Lineage: Bacteria
Description: bacterial SSU rRNA
Rfam family: Bacterial small subunit ribosomal RNA
Source: RNAcentral